AUACUUCUUCGGAGCAUUUUACGAGGUGCUGCAUGGUUGUCGUCAGCUCGUGCCGUGAGGUGUCGGGUUAAGUCCCAUAACGAGCGCAACCCCUACCUUUAGUUGCCAUCAGGUAAUGCUGGGGACUCUAAAGGAACUGCCUACGCAAGUAGUGAGGAAGGCGGGGAUGACGUCAAAUCAGCACGGCCCUUACGUCCAGGGCUACACACGUGCUACAAUGGCCGAUACAGAGGGCAGCUACCUGGUGACAGGAUGCAAAUCUCCAAAGUCGGUCUCAGUUCGGAUCGGAGUCUGCAACCCGACUCCGUGAAGUUGGAUUCGCUAGUAAUCGCGCAUCAGCCAUGGCGCGGUGAAUACGUUCCCGGGCCUU
This 370-nucleotide ribosomal RNA is filed under the name uncultured Sphingobacteriales bacterium. RNAcentral's name for it is "bacterial SSU rRNA". It matches the Rfam family "Bacterial small subunit ribosomal RNA", at positions 1012 to 1382 of the family's 1533-position model. The record is from RNAcentral. Lineage: Bacteria; Pseudomonadati; Bacteroidota; Sphingobacteriia; Sphingobacteriales.